RNAcentral lists this ribosomal RNA (497 nucleotides) under uncultured bacterium. RNAcentral's name for it is "partial 16S ribosomal RNA". It matches the Rfam family "Bacterial small subunit ribosomal RNA", at positions 28 to 507 of the family's 1533-position model. The record is from RNAcentral.
GAUGAACGCUGGCGGCGUGCCUAAUACAUGCAAGUAGAACGCUGAAGGAAGGAGCUUGCUCUUUCCGGAUGAGUUGCGAACGGGUGAGUAACGCGUAGGUAACCUGCCUGGUAGCGGGGGAUAACUAUUGGAAACGAUAGCUAAUACCGCAUAACAGUAGAUGUUGCAUGAUAUCUACUUAAAAGGUGCAAUUGCACCACUACCAGAUGGACCUGCGUUGUAUUAGCUAGUUGGUGAGGUGACGGCUCACCAAGGCGACGAUACAUAGCCGACCUGAGAGGGUGAUCGGCCACACUGGGACUGAGACACGGCCCAGACUCCUACGGGAGGCAGCAGUAGGGAAUCUUCGGCAAUGGACGGAAGUCUGACCGAGCAACGCCGCGUGAGUGAAGAAGGUUUUCGGAUCGUAAAGCUCUGUUGUAAGAGAAGAACGAGUGUGAGAGUGGAAAGUUCACACUGUGACGGUAUCUUACCAGAAGGGGACGGCUAACUACGUG